CCUACGGGAGGCAGCAGUGAGGAAUAUUGGUCAAUGGCCGGAAGGCUGAACCAGCCAUGCCGCGUGAAGGUCAGUGCCCUAUGGGCGUUAAACUUCUUUUGUGCGGGAGCAAUAAUGGUCACGUGUGGCCAGACGAGAGUACCGUACGAAUAAGCAUCGGCUAACUCCGUGCCAGCAGCCGCGGUAAUACGGGGGAUGCAAGCGUUAUCCGGGUUUAUGGGGGUGAAAGGGUGCGUAGGCGGUGAGGUAAGUCAGCGAUGAAAUGCCCCCGCUCAACGGGGUGAAGUGCCAUUGAUACUGCCGUGCUGGAAUGCGGAUGCCGUGGGAGGAAUGUGUGGUGUAGCGGUGAAAUGCAUAGAUAUCAGACAGAACACCGAUUGCGAAGGCAUCUCACGAAUCCGCGAUUGACGCUGAUGCACGAAAGCGUGGGUAUCAAACAGGAUUAGAUACCCCAGUAGUC
This 460-nucleotide ribosomal RNA is filed under the name uncultured bacterium. RNAcentral describes it as "partial 16S ribosomal RNA". It matches the Rfam family "Bacterial small subunit ribosomal RNA", at positions 338 to 795 of the family's 1533-position model. The record is from RNAcentral.